GGCAGACCCACUGACUACCGGCUCUGGGUUGUCUCAGGGAGAGAGGAAGCCUCAUGCCCUCUUAUUGGUCAUGAGCAUCCCUUCAGUAUUAUCCUAAACUCCUUGAGGGAAACAGACUGCCAAGUCUCAGCAGUCACCAACAACAUCCUGACUGUAGAUGGGAGCCUCUACCUUGAGCACCUUCUCAAAGAUGCUUCCGGCCCAAACUUCAUCCUCAGGCUAAAGGCUGAUGUGGGAGGACUUGGCCGAGCAGUGGAGUCUUACCAGCUGGUCGACUCGUCUGAUUAUUGGGACUGAGAGAAGCAAGAAGGACUUCACUCUCCUAACAGGGAACCUUUUUCCUGCCAUUGGAGAAACUGGUCUUGAAAGAGAUUUUGGGGCUUCUGAAUGAGUAGGUCUAUCUGCUCCCUGAUGGGGACACAACGUUUUUGCUCAGCCCGCUGCUCCUCACAGCCCAUUGUGUGUCUAAGCUCCCCCCGGUUGGGGUCCCACAGCCAGCUCUACACUCUUGUCGCCCGCCAGUCCAGCUGCGAUGCAGCAGUGAUGUGUGGCCGUGCAGACCACUCCCAACACACACACACAAAUCCCACACUUAAGGGGCUACUAAAGUGGGACAGCAGCCCCAGGGUAGGUGGCAGCAAGUCUAGGUAUGCCUUCUGGAGGUCCCCUCAUGUAGCCUCAAGGUUCUGGCACCUUGCCCAGAGGCUGGCCGUGUCCAACAGGUCCAGUUUCUCCAGCCUGUCCUCCACAGGCACCUCUCCAUCUACCUCCUCUCUGAGCUGCAAAGACAGCGCCUUCUCCUUCUGCACCGACUCUGUGUCCUCUCCCAACGAGCCCAACUCCCUCCCCUUCCUGUUCGGCAUGUCGGCACGGUUAUGCCCUCUCACUCCAGACACCACAAAGAAAUUCCCAAAAGAUUGGAGUAUGACAUUCCCAGUGGCAGUUGCUCAGGCACCCAAGGAUUUGGACGGGUAUAAUUGGUCUGAUGAGAGAAAGGGAGACUAGAAGCAUUGCCAUUCUAUUAGCAUUCAGAAUAGAGAAGACCAUCAGAUGCUCACCCAAAGCCUCUGUAGUUUAAAAGGUGAGUAUAUUCAAAGCCCUGUCUCUCAACCAGACAGUGAAAGGAUUCUCUCUGAUUGGAGAGGGGAGCAGGUGCACCAGAGCCAGAAGGAUAAAGUGUUCAAGUUGUCAGAGUCAAAAGGACAGACCAAAGAAACAUCCAUUGCACACAUACAGCUGAGAAAUAAAAAAAACUGUCUGUCAAGAAGGAAGAGGUAAAAGGGGACGAAAAUUACAUUUUACACCUCCUCUAACAGAAUGCUGGUGAAAAAACAGUCUGAUCAAUCUGUGGAACAGUGUGGAGUCUCUCUGGUAUCUGACACAGGGAGAGAACAUCAGGAAAAUGGGGAACUGCUGGCCCAAAGUGUGCAGCUCCACAUACCCCAGACAGUGUCCUAUGGUCAAAACACUCCACUGGUCCUGCAGUCUGUCAACCAGACAAUUUUCAAAUAACAAGAAAGGAUCAAAGGCCAAAACAGAUAUUCACCUUGGUGAAGUGGUCCCUGAACAGUUGGGUGGUGGGUGCACUCCUCUCUCCCAAACAUCAUCUAAAACUCAUGCCAAAACUGCAAGCACAAUCAGCCACAAGACUGCAAGCACAAUCAGCCACAAGACUGCAAGCACAAUCAGCCACAAGACGGCAAGCACAAUCAGCCAAAAGACUGCAAGUACAAUCAGCCACAAGACUGCAAGCACAAUCAGCCACAAAACCGCAUGUGCAAUCAGCCACACUAUUAGAAUAAAACUGCAAGCAACUGUCAAAAAUACUGUGAGAGAAUACUUCAACUCAAGUGACAGCAAGAAUGGCCACUUAGAUGCAAAACAGAACGAAAAAGAGCUCCUCCAGUGGCAAAAUAAAAUGUUGGAACCAACAGAAAAUGCCACAAUGCGAUCACAUGGUGAGGAGUUGUCUGAUUGUUAAUGCUCAUCAUUUGGUGUUUUGUAAUGGGCUGUCAGAAUGUAGAUCAUCCUGGGUUAUUUCACCCUCCUCUUUGUGUGAAUUUUUUGCUAAAUGAUAAAUUUAGUCAAUGAAGGAUCCCACUGGGCACAGACAUCAGUUCAAAGUCUAAUUUUGAUUAACUUUAAGUUGAGUUGUCAUCUAAGGUGAAUUCAACAUGAAAUCAAGAAAACAUUUCACCAUGUCAUUGGAUUUAGGUUCAAAAGCAAUAGGGUGAAAAAAUUACGAAAUUAUCUUAUAUUGAUGACUUUUUGCAAAUCCAAUCGGUUUUUACACAUGGAUUCAACAUCAUCACAUUUCAUUUUUUGGUUGAAAUUAUGUGGAAACAACAUUGAUUCAACCAGUUUUUGCCCAGUUGGAUGGUGCAGAUUGAAUGCAGGCACUCAAACCACUCAGACAGAGCACUUCCUCCAACGGAGUAGGGAUUCAUAACCUUAAUCAUUUUCUAUACAGAAGCAUGAAUAAGGACCAGACAUCUUGACAUCACUGUGAUGUAUGUGUUUCCUAAUGGGGCUGUGAUAAUCUGUCGGUGAAAAAGUAAAAACAACCAAAUUUGAGGCAAAUUAGGUAUAAGAUGCACAACUUGUAUAUGGGCAAACACACACAUUUAUUUAAGUUUUCAUGGCCUGGAUUCUGUUUGGCAAACAAACAAAAAAUAUACAGAAUAAUUGUAACAAUAUAAAUACCUGAGAUGGAAUAUUAUCCAAACUGAGUUCCAAAUAAUGUAAAGUGAUUGUAUGGUGUGCAACACAUAUUCCUGCUGUAUAGUUAACAUCUGGUUAAUAAGUAAUCACCUACUUCUCACUUUUAUUGCUAAAGAAAAAUGUCCAACGUAAAUCACAUUGCAUAUAGUGAGUUAAAAUGUUUGUUUUGUUUUUGCACAGUUCAGUGCUAUUUUGCAUUUGCAAAAUGAAGCCUCAUGUAUAGAUCUCAUUUAGACGCAUUGAUAUAACGGUCUUAAACACAUAAUAACAUAUACUGUACCACUUUUACCACAUCAUUGUUUGUUUUUAUGUAUGUUUUAUCCUAGAACUGUAACUUUGAACAAUAAUCAUAUGUAGCGUUAACCUUGAUAUCAACGUGUGUGUGUGUGUGUGUGUGUGUGUGUGUGUGUGUGUGUGUGUGUGUGUGUGUGUGUGUGUGCGUGCGUGCGUGCGUGCGUGUGUGUGUGUGUGUGUGUGUGAGUGGUGGGGGGGGGGGGGGAUUUGCACCUCUUCACCCCUGUACGAGCUUAUGUUGAUGGUACCACUGAUAAUAAAUCAAGUUAGCCCUAAACAUCUCUGAAUCUCUGAGUAUGUUUUCCCAUGCCUUCUCAGUCCCCGGGUCCUAGGCAUAAUGUUUCCUUUUAUUUCUUUAUUGAGUUUAUUUACUGAGUUUAUUUGAGCAAGGACAAUGUACAUCAGAAGCAUUAGUCUCAGUACACUUGAGAAAAUAUGUGUUGUAUCAGAUUUAGCUAGCUGCUCAUUUCCGUCUGCAGUUCCAGGGCAGGUUAAAAUCACAACAAGAAAACAUUAUGAAGCCAGCAGGAUGGAUGCCUUGUUACAGAGCUACAAACAAUGAUUUGUAACACUUAACUUACUAUUUCUAAUUACAGAAAUGACUUCUAAAGGCAUGCUACUUUAGGCAAUGGCCCGCUGCUGGCAGUAUUUUCUUUUAAUGCUAUGUACCGUUAACAUGUAAUUGCUACAACUGAUUCUACAACCGAACCUACUUCAAGCUAGUUGAUUGAUAGGGCAAAGGGUAGUGAUAUGUUCCUGAGUGAUAUGUUCCUGGGGAUGUUUGAUUAUUAUUAGACUUCGUACAAUAGGUGAGAGGGGCAGCAAGUUGCAUGAAGGAUCACUGGCUGCCUUUAGAUCCCACAGCGUCCCUCAACUUUUGGGGCACUUGGACAGUCAUACCAUCCAUCCACUUCUGCACUGUCACAUGGCAACCAAGAUGGGACCUGUCAAUCAGAAGCAGAUUAAAAGGCUCAGACAUAUAGUUUCAGAAGCAGAUUAGGCUCAGACAGAUAGUUUCAGAGCAUUUACAUAGACAACAUCAGAUUUGUUUUAAACUGAAUUACUGAAUUUACUGCAACCUGUUGCUUCUACGUCAGUUCAGCAGUCAGGCCCUGUCUGGAGUAAAUCAAGAAAAUGUGUGUGUGCUUGUUUUGCUUGAGCCUUGAUCAUGUGUGUAAAUCAUAACAUUUCGACAAGCAAACACAUGUAAAUUGUUUAUGUAACCUAGUACCAUCAUGAAAUGCAAGAGAAAGGCCAUAGUGUAUUAUUCCAGCCCAGGUACAAUUGAGAUUUUAGCCAGUGAUGGUAUAGGUGUAUGUGCAAAGCUUUUUUUGGUACCAUCAUCUUUGAAAUGCAAGAGAAAGACCAUAAUGUAUUAUUCCAGCCCAGGUACAAUUGAGAUUUUAGCCACUAGAUGGUAUAGGUGUAUGUGCAAAGCUUUAAACUGAUCCAAUGAACCAUUUCAUUUCUGAUUAAAAUGUUGUAUCAAGAGUGCCCAAAUGUGCCUAAUUUGUUCAUUAGUAACUUUUCAUGUUCAAGAUUGUGCACUCUCCUCAAACAAUAGCAUGGUAUUAUGUCAGUGUAAUAGCUACUGUAAAAUGGACAGUGCAGUUAGAUUAACAAGAA
Molecule: long non-coding RNA, 4641 nt
Filed under: Oncorhynchus kisutch (coho salmon)
Lineage: Eukaryota; Metazoa; Chordata; Actinopteri; Salmoniformes; Salmonidae
Description: lncRNA (ENSOKIG00005049868.1)
Source: RNAcentral